RNAcentral lists this ribosomal RNA (1004 nucleotides) under Pseudomonas vancouverensis. RNAcentral's name for it is "partial 16S ribosomal RNA". It matches the Rfam family "Bacterial small subunit ribosomal RNA", at positions 57 to 1054 of the family's 1533-position model. The record is from RNAcentral. Lineage: Bacteria; Pseudomonadati; Pseudomonadota; Gammaproteobacteria; Pseudomonadales; Pseudomonadaceae.
GCAAGUCGAACGGNNUGCAANNCAACUUCGCGUCUGUGCNNGUCAAGCUGGCGGAACGGGUGAGUAAUGCCUCGGAANGUGCCCGGUUGUGGGGGAUAACUACUCGAAAGAUUCGCUAAUACCGCAUACGACCUACGGGAGAAAGCGGGGGACCUUCGGGCCUCGCGCUGUCAGANCAGCCUAUGUCGGAUUAGCUAGUUGGUGAGGUAAUGGCUCACCAAGGCGACGAUCCGUAACUGGUCUGAGAGGACGAUCAGUCACACUGGAACUGAGACACGGUCCAGACUCCUACGGGAGGCAGCAGUGGGGAAUAUUGGACAAUGGGCGCAAGCCUGAUCCAGCCAUGCCGCGUGUGUGAAGAAGGUCUUCGGAUUGUAAAGCACUUUAGUCUGGAAAGAAGGGUUGCUGAUUAAUACCUGGCGAUUAUGACGGUACCGAAAGAAUAAGCACCGGCUAACUAUGUGCCAGCAGCCGCGGUAAUACAUAGGGUGCGAGCGUUAAUCGGAAUUACUGGGCGUAAAGCGUGCGCAGGUGGUUUGGUAAGNNUGGAUGUGAAAUCCCCGGGCUUAACCUGGGAACUGCGCUUGUGACUGAAAAGCUAGAGUGUGUCAGAGGGUGGUGGAAUUCCCUGUGUAGCAGUGAAAUGCGUAGAUAUGUGAAGGAAUACCGAUGGCGAAGGCGACCACCUGGGAUGAGACUGACGCUGAUGUGCGAAAGCGUGGGGAGCAAACAGGAUUAGAUACCCUGGUAGUCCACGCCGUAAACGAUGUCAACUAGUUGUUGGGGAUUCNUGNCCUCUUAAUCGUACNNNUCACGCGUAAUUUACCGCCUGUGGAGUACACGCGCNAGAGUUAAANUCUAAAGUAAUUUAGCGGGACCCCGCAAAGGUGGAUGACGUGGAUUAUAUUNAGAACACCGAAAGAACCUUCCUACGCUUUAAUUCCAUGNNNNUUCAAGAAUCGUUUGGUGCCUUAAGGAAAAUGGAACAGGGCUGAUGGCUGCCU